Molecule: long non-coding RNA, 142 nt
Organism: Hibiscus syriacus
Lineage: Eukaryota; Viridiplantae; Streptophyta; Magnoliopsida; Malvales; Malvaceae
Exons: 4
Source: RefSeq, a predicted model, not a curated record
UUAUAGAACCUCAGAGCGUAGGAUAACGAUUCUUCCUCUGAUAGGCCCAAGGGACCGUCGAUUGUGGGCCAUACCGGCGUCGAUGACAGUAUAGAAUUGCUAUUGUUUGGGUAAUUUGGUUUAGGGUUGAGAUUUUGCAUUG